This 77-nucleotide transfer RNA is filed under the name Gammaproteobacteria bacterium. RNAcentral's name for it is "tRNA-Lys". It matches the Rfam family "tRNA". From Rfam's summary of the family: Transfer RNA (tRNA) molecules are approximately 80 nucleotides in length. Their secondary structure includes four short double-helical elements and three loops (D, anti-codon, and T loops). Further hydrogen bonds mediate the characteristic L-shaped molecular structure. tRNAs have two regions of fundamental functional importance: the anti-codon, which is responsible for specific mRNA codon recognition, and the 3' end, to which the tRNAs corresponding amino acid is attached (by aminoacyl-tRNA synthetases). tRNAs cope with the degeneracy of the genetic code in two manners: having more than one tRNA (with a specific anti-codon) for a particular amino acid; and 'wobble' base-pairing, i.e. permitting non-standard base-pairing at the 3rd anti-codon position. The record is from RNAcentral. Lineage: Bacteria; Pseudomonadati; Pseudomonadota; Gammaproteobacteria. RNAcentral also lists the same sequence under 3 other names.
GGGCCGUUAGCUCAGUUUGGUAGAGCAGUUCCCUUUUAAGGAAUUGGUCCGGCGUUCGAGUCGCCGACGGCCCACCA